GAUGAAGGUUUUACGGAUCGUAAAACUCUGUUGUUAGGGAAAAACAAGUACCGUUCAAAUAGGGCGGUACCUUGACGGUACCUAACCAAAAAGCCACGGCUAACUACGUGCCACCACCCGCGGUAAUACUUAGGUGGCAAGCGUUGUCCGGAAUUAUUGGGCGUAAAGCGCGCGCAGGCGGUUUCUUAAUUCUGAUGUGAAAGCCCCCGGCUCAACCGGGGAGGGUCAUUGGAAACUGGGGAACUUGAGUGCAGAAAAGGAAAGUGGAAUUCCACGUGUAGCGGUGAAAUGCUUAGAGAUGUGAAGGAACACCAGUGCCAAAGGCAACUCUCUGGUCUGUAACUGACGCUAAGGCGCG
Molecule: ribosomal RNA, 358 nt
Filed under: uncultured Bacillus sp.
Lineage: Bacteria; Bacillati; Bacillota; Bacilli; Caryophanales; Bacillaceae
Description: bacterial SSU rRNA
Rfam family: Bacterial small subunit ribosomal RNA
Source: RNAcentral